GCUUGCAAAUAAGGGAGGUUUGGUAAAUCAGUUUCUUGAAUCAAUCUUGUUUUUCCUACCACGGAAUCGAUCUCUCCUCUCAAUCUUUCAAGAACAAUAAGGUUGUGCAUGAUCUCCGCCAUUGCCCACUGUGUUGUUUGCACCAAGGUGUCAGUGCUUGCAAAUAAGAGAUCCUGUAGUUACAAAAUGUUUUUUCUUAGGGAGAACAGUUAUGCAUUCUCACUAAAACCACCUGAUGAGAGGAACAUUUACCGAGAAGAACGACUUGAUAUGGUUCCUAGAAAUCUUAUACUCUGCAUUUUCAUCCCGAUACGCGGCCAACAAGGUGUCCAUCAAGUCCUCACCUUGAUGAUGCAUGCUUAGUUUCUCCUCGUGUUCCACAAGAAUCCUUUCAAGCAGCUCAUCAAAUCUGCAGGAAACAUCCAUCAUUUCCUUUUUAAACAGUGCGACAACAAGCUUUUUAAACCCCGCGCGCAACAUGUUUGCCAACAAAAUCUUCUUUGUCAAAGCAUCUAAAUCGGUAACCAAAGCCCUGACUCUCUCAGCCUCACCAUUCUCCUCUGAACAGCUCCUGCCCAUAAUCAUCUUGCAGAUGCUGUUGUUACCGAGCUUCAACACUUCCGCACAGAUCUCCACGCUCUCCUUCUUCAUCGCCUUAUCAAACAGGUUCUUGUAAAACCGAUCUAGCUCAUCUGCACGGACUCCUCGUGACCGCUCAAGUGCCUGGGGUCCAAGCAAGUUCGUAACCAGGAGCUUCUUCAUGAACUUCCAGUAAUCUCCAUAGGGAGCAGAGAUGAAGCUGAAACAUCCAGCAAAAAGAGCAUCAUCUGUCGGAGGGAAUCCACGAGACGAGAUGUUCACGUCAUGGGUCCUGAAGAUCUCAUAAGCAACUGAGGCUGAGGAGACGAGGACUACAGGGAAACUGAAGACCCGGAGAUAGAGAAUAGAUCCAUACUUGGUGGAGAGUUUCUGUAAGGAUCUAUGGAUUAGAACAGAGAGAAGAAGGUGAAGAUGACCGAUGACCGGAAGAGACGGAGGGCUCGGAGGUAAAUCAAAGUCAAGUCGAGGGUCCUUUGGUUUCCUGAAGAAAAGAGAGUAACAAAGUAGUGAGAAUAGGCAUAGGAGGAUACAAAUGAAGCAGUUUUGAAAGUCAGUGAAGAUCAUUUCUGCCAAAGUGAAAGAGGAAGAUGAGAAAGAGGAUUUUUGCUAAUCAAGAAUCACCCAUCUUAAUCUGAUGUACAUAUAACAUAAAAAUAUAAUGUAUUUUAUCCAUCGUGGUUACUAAAGUAGGACCAAGAUAGUUCACUAUUCUAUCAAAAGGCAUUGACUUUUGACAAAUAAAAAUUGAUAUCUACAAGAAUCUAAGACAGAUGUGUUGAUAAAGACCAUGUUACUGGAUUUGAUUUUGAUCCAACCAAAAAACAUAUCAUGCAUUACUUGAACUGUGGUCUACUCCAGAGCAGCAACAUCAAGUUCCUAGGAUAGAAAGAAGCCAAAACAUUGGAACAAACAAGAAUAAUGGAAGACAUAUCAAUAUAGAGUACCUUGACCAUCUCUAGUGUCACCGCAGAUAAAGUUGUUAGCUGAUGUUCCCCCCAGCAUUCAUGAAUUCACAUAGCUGAUCACUUUGAUCAGCUUUAUAGAAAGUAACUUGAUGCUGAAAACGGUAGUGAACAUUUCAAGGACUCUAAAUCCCAAAUCCACCUUCUUGUGUUUGGGAAGCCCAUGUAGAUUAACUUGAACAAUAACUCUUGGAGAAAUCAGCUUCCGAGACACCAUUUUCUCUCUCUCUCUGUCUCUCUCUUUUAAAUGCUAUCAGAAACCAGAUUCACAAUUUUCAAGUAAAAGAAAGAAGAAAAAUUUAUGAAUCAAUACACAAUGCUUAUAAUUGAAUAGAUAAGCCCAGAAUUUUCAAUCUCUUCCUUUGUUUAUCUCACAAAAUCGAAACGCACAAUACAUAAAAUAUCACAAUGCUUACCGACUUCUUCUAGAGAACACUACGCUCCCCCCAAGACCAACCAACCAUAAAGACUACUUGAAAUCUCUGUAAUUUUUCCUUCAUCACCCCAAUAUAUAUACUCCGUAAGAGAAAAAAAAGCCCUUUCAUCAAAAUUACAAAACCCUUCACAUUUGAACCUUUCUUCCUUCUGGGCAAUCAACGUCACAGACUCUCACAUAAAGCAGAGAUCAAAAACUUUUCUCAAAUCUAUCGCCUGAUACGGAGACAGAACAAAAUCAGAAACUGAUUGAACCAGUGAGGUCGGUGAAUAUGAACCGAUAUAUGACUUAAACCGAAGAGCUGUACACAAUUAUUUAUGGUUUUACAUAAUAAACCAAACUUAACCAAACAAAACCGGGAAACUGAACACGGAAAAACAGACAAAGCAGCGCAAGCGUCCUUGACCAUGAGGCCAUGACUAUUCAAAUCUUACAGGAAGUUCGUUCACUGACAGCGAUUCGAAGUUAAAGGGUUUGAGGAUCGAGAAAGAGGAGUGAUCUUAAGAGGAUGCGCCAUGGUCAAACUCAGUCCUACAACAGUCUCUUCCAUGUUGAUUUUCUCAUCAUUGAUUCUCCACUCAAAUCCCUGCACCAUCACUCCAAUUGCAGUUCCCAUAAUGACAUAAGCUAGAUUCUCUCCAGGGCAGCUUCUCCUCCCGCUUCCAAAAGGAAUGAACUUAAUCGCCUUCUCUCUUCUCUCCUCCUCUUGCUCUGAUCUCGAAGCAGAUGCUAAAAACCUCUCUGGCUUAAACACAAGAGGAUCUUCCCAAGUAUCAGGAUCUCUCAUCACAGCAUAAGCAUUUACAACAAGUGAUGUCUCCUCCGGUACGUAAAACCCUCCGAUCAUACACCCUUCUUUAGAGAACCUUACAAAGAAAGGUCCCGGCGGGUGCAGUCUUAUCGUUUCUUUAACAACCGCUUGCAAAUAAGGGAGGUUUGGUAAUUCCGUUUCUUCAAUCAACCUUUUUUGUCCUACCACGCAAUCGAUUUCUCCUCUCAGUCUCUCAAGAACGUUACGGUUUUUUAUGAUCUCUGUCAUUGCCCACUGUGUUGUUUUCACCGAGUUAUCAGUACCUGCAAAUAAAAGAUCCUGCAAGUUGCAAAACGUUUUAUCUUAUAAGCAGAACACUUUUGAUUCUCAAUGAAACUACUACUUGAUGGGACGAGCAUUUACCGCGAUAACCGACUUGAUAUGGUUCCUUGUGAUCAUAUACUCUGCAUUUUCAUUACGAUGAGCUUCCAACAACGCGUCCAUCAAGUCCGUACCUUGAUGAUGCUCGUCUAGUUUCUUUUCGUGUUCUACAAGAAUCCUUUCGAGCAGCUCACUGAAUCUGUCGGAAACUACCUUUGUUUCCUUACUAAACAGUGAGACAACAAGCUUCUUAAACCCCGCACGCAACGUGUUUGCAAAGAAAAGCUUUUUUGUCAAAACAUCUAACUCGGUAGCCAAAGCCUUGAAACUCUCUUCUGAACAACUUCUCCCCAUGAUCAUCUUGCUGAUGGUGUAGUUAGUGAGCGUCAAAGUUUCAUUACUGAUCUCCACGCUCUCCUUAUUCAUGGCUUUGUCGAAGAUGUUCAUAUAAUACCGCUCUAGCUCAUCUGCACGGACACCACGUGACCUCUCGUGCGCUUGAGGUCCAAGAAAGUUUGUUACCAGGACCUUCUUCAUGAACUUCCAGUAAUCUCCAUAGGGAGCGGAGAUGAAGCUGAAAGCUCCGGCAAAAAGGGCAUCAUCGGUCGGAGUGAAGCCACGAUACGAAUUAUUCACGUCGUGCGUCCUGAAGAUCUCAUAAGCAACUGAGGCUGAGGAGACGAGGACUACAGGGAAACUGAAGACGCGGAGAUAGAGAAUAGGUCCGUACUUGGAGGAGAGUUUCUGUAAAGAUCUGUGGAUUAGAACAGAGAGGAGAAGGUGAAGAUGACCGAUGAUCGGAAGAGAGGGAGGACUCGGUGGCAGAUCAAAGCCACCACGUCUUGACCCGCUUGGUUUCUUGAAAAAGAGAUAGUAACAGAGGAGUGAGAAGAGACAUAAGAGGAUGAAGAUGAAACAGUUUUGAAAGCCAACGCUGAUAAACGCUGCCAUUAUUGCUCCGAAGUGAAGAAAGAGGCAAAAAUUACAAAGAGAAAUGAGCUUAUAAAGAAUCCACGAAUUUGAUAUGAGGGCAUGAUUUGUUUACUAUAGAACAAGACAAGUUCUUCCUUUUUCGAAAAUCUUGGAAGUGUAAUGGAAAUUGGCAAUAAUCUCUCUUUGCUAAGAAAGUAAAUGUCACAAAAUUCAUAGGAUGAAAGUUUAGGUUUUUACAUAGUUUAAGACCUAGGGUGUACAUAGUGCUCAUGGCCUAAAGUAAAAAGUGAAACUUUAUCGAGAAUCUAUGAAUAUUAAUGUAUAAAGUAAAACUGAAUCAUAUAUCAAGUGUCAUUUUUAAGAAAAGAGUAAAACUAAAUCAAUUUCUUCACUUUUGAAAAAUGACACUUGGUAUAUGAUUGAAUGCUUAAAGAAAUUAUUAGACAAGAGCUUUACACUAUGUAGUAUAUGAAUUACAAGAGUGAUAAAGGCACCUUUUAAUUAAUGUACAAUAUAUAAUAGCUUUCAUUCACAUAAUCAUUUGGUUUAGAUUGGUUUUGUUGAUUUUCUUUUUUGUUUAACCACUAUACAAUUAGAUUGUAUAAUCUUUUGGCUUCCAUUGUAUGGCCAUGCUUUGUUUAUUAAUUACUAGAAGAAAAGUUUUUCUUUUUCUUUUGGAAAAUCUAGAAGUUGAAGGUAAAAAGCAAAAUUUCACAUCGUUGCAAAUAGGAGAAGAACGAAAUCGACCUUAAAAGUCGCGACUUAAACUCGGAGAACAAUAGUUUUUACGGUUUCACACAAAAAACCAAAAGUAACCAACUAAACAGAAUUCAUGAACUCACGAACUGAAAUUCUGCAGAUUCGAAUUUAAAGGUUGCAUUCGAGCAACAGGAGUACACCUAAGAGGAUGAGCCAUGUUUAUGGUCAUUCCAGCAACAGUCUCUUCCAUGUUAACCUUGUCUUCUUUGAUUCUCCAGUCAAAGCAAUGCACCAUCAUUCCUAUUGCGGUUCCUACAAAUAUAUAACCUAUAUUUUCUCCAGGGCAUCCUCUUCUUCCGCUGCCAAAAGGAAGGUACUUUAGGGUUUGCUCUCUCUCCUCUUCUGGUCCUCUUGAAGAAGCUAGAAACCUCUCUGGCUUAAACUCAUCCGGAUCUUCCCAAGAACUAGGAUCUCUCAUCACGGCAUAAGCGUUAACUACAAGAGUUGUGUUCUUUGGUACGUAAAAGCCUCCAAUCAUACAUUCCCUUAUGACUUUCCUUCCCAAGAGAGGCCCUGGUGGGUGCAAUCUUAGCCCUUCCUUGAUGACCGCUUGCAAAUAAGGGAGGUCUGGUAGAUCCUUCUCCUGAAUCAACCUUGUUUUACCUACAACGGAAUCAAUUUCGUUUCUCAAUCUCUCAAGGAUGUUAGGCUUAUUAAUGAUCUCUGCCAUUGUCCACUCAAUUGUUUGCACUGAGGUGUCAGUGCCUCCAAGGAUAAGCUCCUGUUGUCAGAAUACUCAGAAAAAUCAAUGAUGUUGUAUUGGAUUCUCAAAUGAAUGCACUUACUAAAAAAGAAAAUUUAC
Molecule: long non-coding RNA, 5624 nt
Filed under: Capsella grandiflora
Lineage: Eukaryota; Viridiplantae; Streptophyta; Magnoliopsida; Brassicales; Brassicaceae
Description: long non-coding RNA (CGRA_LNC001023)
Source: RNAcentral